Molecule: ribosomal RNA, 468 nt
Filed under: uncultured bacterium
Lineage: Bacteria
Description: partial 16S ribosomal RNA
Rfam family: Bacterial small subunit ribosomal RNA
Source: RNAcentral
GACGAACGCUGGCGGCGUGCUUAACACAUGCAAGUCGAACGGAAAGGCCCUGCUUUUGUGGGGUGCUCGAGUGGCGAACGGGUGAGUAACACGUGAGUAACCUGCCCUUGACUUUGGGAUAACUUCAGGAAACUGGGGCUAAUACCGGAUAUGAGCUCCUGCUGCAUGGUGGGGGUUGGAAAGUUUCGGCGGUUGGGGAUGGACUCGCGGCUUAUCAGCUUGUUGGUGGGGUAGUGGCUUACCAAGGCUUUGACGGGUAGCCGGCCUGAGAGGGUGACCGGAAAAAUUGGGACUGAGAUACGGCCCAGACUCCUACGGGAGGCAGCAGUGGGGAAUAUUGCACAAUGGGCGGAAGCCUGAUGCAGCAACGCCGCGUGCGGGAUGACGGCCUUCGGGUUGUAAACCGCUUUCGCCUGUGACGAAGCGUGAGUGGCGGUAAUGGGUAAAGAAGCACCGGCUAACUACGUG